Molecule: small nuclear RNA, 104 nt
Filed under: Tursiops truncatus (common bottlenose dolphin)
Lineage: Eukaryota; Metazoa; Chordata; Mammalia; Artiodactyla; Delphinidae
Source: RNAcentral
AUGCUCACUUCGGCAGCACAUAUACUAAAAUUGGAACGAUACAGAGAUUAGCAUGGCCCCUGCACAAGGAUGACACACAGAUUUGUGAAGUGUUCCGUAUUUUU